AUGGUGCAAGGUUGCCUGAUGUUUCCCAGGUUUCAAUGGCCCAGGCAGAUAAAGGAAAUUCAGCAAGAUCAGAAGAAAGAAGGAAAAGGAAAACACCAGGAAAAUGAACACUGUCUUAUAAUAAAUAAGACUGAAAAAAGAUGUAUUUUCUUGUUAUCAAAGCAAUUUGUAUUCAUUACAGGAAAAUCAGAAAAUGAAGCUCAAAAACAAAACAAACAUAACACAACACAACCCAGUUUCCCUCACAGCAUCAUUAAUCAUUCCGACCAUCUCUGUGCAGGUUUCUCCAAACCUGCAUCCUGUCUAGGUAUCUAUCAAACAAAAUGGAAUUGUUUUGUAACUGUUUUUUUUCUAUUUAAUUUUAUUUUUAAGUAAUCUCUACACCCAACUCGGAACUUGAACUCACAACGCCAAGAUCAAGAGCCACACACUCCACCAACCGAGCCAGCCCCUGUAUAGGUGCCCCAUAACCUGUUUUGUAAACUGAAUUGUGAACGUCUUUCUGUAUCUGUAACUAUACCCCCACACUAGUGUUUUUAAUGUUUAAGGAGCAUUUGCUAUGCAAGGCACUAUUCCAAUUGCUGCAGUUUAUAUAUAAUCAUAGGUAAGAUCAUCUCUGUCCUCAUCUGAGUAUAACAUAAUUUUUUCCCUAAUGUUUAGGUCAUUUCCAUAUUUUUGCUUUUACAAACAAUGCUGUGAUGAAUAUCCUCAUAGGUAAGUCUUUGCAUAGACCCAUAAUUUUUCCAUAAUUGUGCUGGUGACUCUCUCUUUGCCCCUCUGCAUUACUCCCCUUCUUCUUUGCCUUAUUCUGUGGACUGUAUCAGUGGGCUCAUUUGCCCUCUGGCAGUGGGAAGCUCAAGGAGUACAUUGGAGGUGGGUGGUAUAUUCUGACUUCCUCCCUGCCUCCUUGUGGAUUGUCAUUAGCUGCAUUCUUGUACUGAGGUUGGCUCUGGUGCCUGGGCAGCCCUCUCCCGGGGCUUGGUUCUCAGGGAGUUGCUCACCCCAGGGUACCUCACCAUUCCUUGUUGGUUUCCCUUAACCUUGUCCUUGUUCUUAUAGAGAGUUCUUCAUUAAACCCUUCUCAGUUACCCCCUGGGAGUGUGCCAUCUGUUUCCUGGGAGGAGCCUAAAUGGUAAAAACAUGCUCCUACUCCUUGCAUAUUGUGCGUUCCUAACUGCUUGCCUGCAUUGGGAACCUGGGAUGGAUUAUGCAAAAAGGUCAAGAACUCCCUUUUCUCCUUUGACUUAAGGCCUGGGCACCAGUGACUACUGAGCAGCUAUCUCCCAUUUCUUUCUCCUGGACCCCUCUGUACCCCCAUGGAGAUCUCUCUCUCUUUAAAAAAAAUUUUUUUUUAUUGAAGUUCGAUUUGCCAACAUAUAGUAUAACAGGAGAUCUCUCAACUGGUGACUAAGGCACUCUGGUGGGGACACAAGAGAGAACCAAGGGAGCCCUUUAGCCCUCCUACCCAGAGCUGCUUUGACCUCAGGGUCUCUGCUACCUUCAUCUUGUUUUUCUUUUUAGUCCUUGAAAUAAUAUAAAUAUCCAUCUAUAUAUCUUUUUUUUUUUUUUUUUUUUUAGAGAGGGAGAGAAGGGGAGAGAGGAGAGGCAGAGAGAAUCUUAAGCAGGUUCCAUGUCCAGCACAGAGCUUGACAUGGGGCUCGAUCUCAUGACCUGAGCUGAAAUCAAGAGUCAGAUGCUUAACCGACUGAGCCACCCAGGUGCCCCUAGUCCUUGAAUUAAUAUAUUUAAUUAAUUUAUUUAUUGGAGUAUAACAUAUAAUGUUAUAUUAGUUUCAGGUGUACGACACGUUGGUUCAACAAUUCUAUAAAUUACUCAGUGCUCAGCGCAGUAAGCAUAGUCAUCCUCUGCCACCACAGGACAUUGUUACGGUAUACUGACUAUAUUCCCCACGCCGUUUAUUUUAUGACUAGAAGUUUGUACCUCUUCAUCUCCUUUAUUUAUUUUACCCAACCCCCAACCACCUCCCCUCUGGCAACCCCAGUUUGUUCUCUGUACUUAGGAAUCUGUUUUGUUUUUUAAGUUACAUGAAUAAGUGAAAUCAUGUGGUAUCUUUCUCUAAUUUCACUUAGCAUAAUACCUUCUACAUCCAUCCAUGUUGUUGCAAAUAGCAAGAUCUCAUUCUUUUUUAUGGCUGAGUAAUAUUCCACUGCGCACGUGCGCAUAUGUACAUAUUCUUUAUCCAUUCAUCCAUCGAUGAGCACUUGGGUUGCUUCCAUAAUUUGGCUAUUGUAAAUAAUGCUCCAUUAAACAUAGGGGUGCACAUAUCUUUUCAAAUUAGUGUUUUCAUUUUCUUUGGAUAAACACCCAGUAGUGGAAUUACUGGACUAUAUGGCAUUUAUAUUUUUAAUGUUUGGGGUUAUAUCUAUUCUAUUUUCCACAGUGGCUGAACCAAUUUACAUUCCUUCCAACAGUGCACAAGGAUUCCUUUUUUUCCACUUCAUCAACACUUGUUAUUUCUUGUCUUUUUUAUUUUAGCCAUUCUGACAGGUGUCAGGUGAUAUCUCGUUGUGGUUUUGGUUUGCAUCCCUGAUGAUGAGUGACGUUGAACAUUUUUUCAUGUGUCUGUUGGCCAUCUGGAUUGGAUAUCUUCUUUGGAAAAAUGUCUAUUUGGGUCCUCUCUUUGUUUUUAAAUUAGAUUAUAUGGUGGGGUUAUAUUUUUGUUUGUUUGCUUCUGGUGUUGAGUUGUUCAAGUUCUUUAUGUAUUUUAAAAAAUUUUUAUUUAUUCAUGAGAGACACACAGAGAGAGGCAGAGACAUAGGCAGAGGGAGAAGCAGGCUCCUCGCAGGGAGCCCGAUGCGGGACUCAAUCCCGGACUCCGAGAUCAUGCCCUGAGCCAAAGGCAGAUGCUCAACCACUGAGCCACCCAGGCGUCCCUCUUUUUGUAUUUUUGAUUAACCUCCUUUACUUUGUUUUUGAUGCCUGAACUCUUCCCUGAAUUAGGAGUGAUUGUAUGGCCAAUUCUUAUUCUUUUGAAUACCUGAGCUCAUAGCAAAAUUUUUCCUAUUAUAGUCUUAAGUGGUGUUUUAGUAUUCUAUUAAAUAGGCAGAAUUUUAUUUUUAGAGCUUCUAGCUUGGAGUCCCUGAUACUAUCUCUUCUGUGAUUUUCUCUUAUGUGAAUCACUAGAAAUGUUUUUUUUUUUUUUUCUUAAAAGUCUGCAUCCAGCUUUACCUUCCUUGCCUUUUGAAUUUUUAGAUAAUGCUAUCUCUUUCUUCAAAGAUUCUUCACACUUCUGUUUAAUCGAUUGUUCUUGGCUGUUCAGAAUUAAGUGUCUGUCCCAUUUCUUUUGUCUUCCUCCCGGUCAAUGAGAUCACUAGUAAGACUAGACUAUAAUGAUCAAAUACUCUUCUUUUUAGUGAUGUGAAACUUUCUGAUGUCCACGUAUUUGGGAUUCCCAUCUUAUUGCUGUGCUCCAGGCCCUUGUUCCUGGGUACAUUACCUUGUUCUGGAAUUCCAAAUCGCAGAGGUGGGCACUUGGUAGGAACUUUGUCUCAAAGUCAGAAGGAUCUAGAGUUAAAUCCAGUCACUUAUUGGCUUUGUCACUUUAAGGCUUCUAUCUUUACUGAGUCUCAAGUUUCUUGGCUUACCUCUCAAGGUUGUUGGGAGAAGUCAAUGAGAUAACUUGUAUAUAAUAAAUAAUCUAGCACAGCAUGUGGAAGAGUGGUCCCUUAGACUGUGUAACUUUCUCCUCCUGCUCUUGGCUCCUUUCUUUCUCCCCACCUGUCUCUCCUCCUCCCACUUGUCUUCCCACCUCCCUACCUGUCUUCCCUCUUCCCCAUUUUUCCCUCCAGCCCCUCCCUCCAUUCUUUUCUCCUUCCCAUCUUUACUUUCCCCUCCCUCCCCACUUCUUUUCCUCUCCCUUCUCCUUCUUCUUCCUCACUUUUUUCCUCUCCAUUUCUUCUUCUAUCUCUCUCCUCUCCCUUCCUCAUCCCCACUUUCCCCUCUCUCCUCCCCACUUUCUCUGCCAGUGAGACUUACAUGAGGAUAAGAGGGGUUAAAACCAAGGCAGAAACAUGCUAUAUGGUUUUGUUACUCCUUGGAAACAAACCAUAUAAUUUCUGAGAAUUAUAGUCCAAAGGAAAACUCUCAAUUGUAAUCAAGGCUUUUCCAAGUAUUUCUGAGUUCUUCCAUGAACUUUUUCCUUGUAACAUUAAGGACACAAAGAAUGAUGGGAAAUUGCUGAUAAUGAUCAUUAUUCUCCUGGUCUUUGGCUUGUCCAGUGUUCCAGAUUGAAGAUUUGUUGUGUUGAAUCAAAAGAUAAACCCUCAAAUGGGGCACCUGGCUGGCUUGGUCAGCAAGUUGAGCACACAACUCUUGAUCUUGGGGUUGUGAGUUCAAGCCCCAUGUUUUAGGGGUUGAGUUUGCUUAAAAAAAAAAGAUAAACCCUCAAGGUGAUUACAUAUAUGUCAAAUGGUCUUAUU
RNAcentral lists this long non-coding RNA (4439 nucleotides) under Canis lupus familiaris (dog). Its description in RNAcentral is "lncRNA (ENSCAFG00030007018.1)". The record is from RNAcentral. Lineage: Eukaryota; Metazoa; Chordata; Mammalia; Carnivora; Canidae.